GCUGGUGUUGCUCAGUGACAAAGCACUUGUCUAGCAUGCAUGAGGCACUGGGUUCAAUCUCCAGCACUCGCG
RNAcentral lists this transfer RNA (72 nucleotides) under Ictidomys tridecemlineatus (thirteen-lined ground squirrel). RNAcentral's name for it is "Spermophilus tridecemlineatus (thirteen-lined ground squirrel) tRNA". It matches the Rfam family "tRNA". Rfam says of the family: Transfer RNA (tRNA) molecules are approximately 80 nucleotides in length. Their secondary structure includes four short double-helical elements and three loops (D, anti-codon, and T loops). Further hydrogen bonds mediate the characteristic L-shaped molecular structure. tRNAs have two regions of fundamental functional importance: the anti-codon, which is responsible for specific mRNA codon recognition, and the 3' end, to which the tRNAs corresponding amino acid is attached (by aminoacyl-tRNA synthetases). tRNAs cope with the degeneracy of the genetic code in two manners: having more than one tRNA (with a specific anti-codon) for a particular amino acid; and 'wobble' base-pairing, i.e. permitting non-standard base-pairing at the 3rd anti-codon position. The record is from Rfam by way of RNAcentral. Lineage: Eukaryota; Metazoa; Chordata; Mammalia; Rodentia; Sciuridae.